Molecule: ribosomal RNA, 119 nt
Filed under: Pteropus alecto (black flying fox)
Lineage: Eukaryota; Metazoa; Chordata; Mammalia; Chiroptera; Pteropodidae
Source: RNAcentral
GUUUACAACCAGGCCAUCCUGAACAUGCCCAAUCCUGUCUGAACGUGGAAGCUAAGUAGGGUUGGUCCUGGUUAGUACUUGGAUGGGAGACUACCUAGGAAGACCAGGUGCUGCAGGUA